GACAAGACGGAGGAGCAUGUGGUUUAAUUCGAUGAUACGCGAGGAACUUACCUGGGCUCGAACGUAAGAUGACUGUAGGUGAAAGCUUACAUCUCUUCGGAGCAUUUUACGAGGUGCUGCAUGGUUGUCGUCAGCUCGUGCCGUGAGGUGUCGGGUUAAGUCCCAUAACGAGCGCAACCCUACCUUUAGUUGCCAUCAGGUAAUGCUGGGGACUCUAAAGGAACUGCCUACGCAAGUAGUGAGGAAGCGGGGAUGACGUCAAAUCAGCACGGCCCUUACGUCCAGGGCUACACACGUGCUACAAUGGCCGAUACAGAGGGCAGCUACCUGGUGACAGGAUGCAAAUCUCCAAAGUCGGUCUCAGUUCGGAUCGGAGUCUGCAACCCGACUCCGUGAAGUUGGAUUCGCUAGUAAUCGCGCAUCAGCCAUGGCGCGGUGAAUACGUUCCCGGGCCUU
RNAcentral lists this ribosomal RNA (456 nucleotides) under uncultured Sphingobacteriales bacterium. RNAcentral describes it as "bacterial SSU rRNA". It matches the Rfam family "Bacterial small subunit ribosomal RNA", at positions 924 to 1382 of the family's 1533-position model. Lineage: Bacteria; Pseudomonadati; Bacteroidota; Sphingobacteriia; Sphingobacteriales. The record is from RNAcentral.